GAGUUUGAUCAUGGCUCAGAUUGAACGCUGGCGGCAUGCUUUACACAUGCAAGUCGAACGGCAGCACAGGGAGCUUGCUCCUGGGUGGCGAGUGGCGAACGGGUGAGUAAUGUAUCGGAACGUGCCUGGUAGUGGGGGAUAACCACUCGAAAGAGUGGCUAAUACCGCAUGAGAUCUCUGGAUGAAAGCGGGGGACCUUCGGGCCUCGUGCUACUGGAGCGGCCGAUAUCAGAUUAGGUUGUUGGUGGGGUAAAGGCCUACCAAGCCUGCGAUCUGUAGCUGGUCUGAGAGGACGACCAGCCACACUGGGACUGAGACACGGCCCAGACUCCUACGGGAGGCAGCAGUGGGGAAUUUUGGACAAUGGGCGCAAGCCUGAUCCAGCAAUGCCGCGUGCAGGACGAAGGCCUUCGGGUUGUAAACUGCUUUUGUACAGAACGAAAAGUCUCUGGCUAAUAUCUAGAGAUCAUGACGUUAC
This 478-nucleotide ribosomal RNA is filed under the name Brachymonas sp. canine oral taxon 015. RNAcentral describes it as "bacterial SSU rRNA". It matches the Rfam family "Bacterial small subunit ribosomal RNA", at positions 9 to 478 of the family's 1533-position model. Lineage: Bacteria; Pseudomonadati; Pseudomonadota; Betaproteobacteria; Burkholderiales; Comamonadaceae. The record is from RNAcentral.